GACGAACGCUGGCGGCGUGCCUAAUACAUGCAAGUCGAACGCUUCUUUUCUCCCGAAUGCUUGCAUUCAAUUGAAAAGAAGAGUGGCGGACGGGUGAGUAACACGUGGGUAACCUGCCCAUAAGUGGGGGACAACAGUCGGAAACGAUUGCUAAUACCGCAUAUACGAGAAACCACAUGGUUUCUUUGUAAAAGGUGGCUUUUAUGCUACCGCUUAUGGAUGGACCCGCGGCGUAUUAGCUAGUUGGUGAGGUAACGGCUCACCAAGGCGAUGAUACGUAGCCGACCUGAGAGGGUGAUCGGCCACACUGGGACUGAGACACGGCCCAGACUCCUACGGGAGGCAGCAGUAGGGAAUCUUCCGCAAUGGACGAAAGUCUGACGGAGCAACGCCGCGUGAGUGAAGAAGGUUUUCGGAUCGUAAAACUCUGUUGUUAGAGAAGAACAAGUAGGAGAGUAACUGCUCCUGCCUUGACGGUAUCUAACCAGAAAGCCACGGCUAACUACGUGCCAGCCGCCGCCGUAACAC
RNAcentral lists this ribosomal RNA (528 nucleotides) under uncultured bacterium. RNAcentral describes it as "bacterial SSU rRNA". It matches the Rfam family "Bacterial small subunit ribosomal RNA", at positions 28 to 526 of the family's 1533-position model. The record is from RNAcentral.